RNAcentral lists this long non-coding RNA (1400 nucleotides) under Astyanax mexicanus (Mexican tetra). RNAcentral's name for it is "lncRNA (ENSAMXG00005022704.1)". The record is from RNAcentral. Lineage: Eukaryota; Metazoa; Chordata; Actinopteri; Characiformes; Acestrorhamphidae.
GUCUGCAGUGCCUGGUGAAGUACAGUACAACACAGCCUGUUCCAAAAUAUGGUUACCUUUGUUUGCUGUGUGAAAGGAAACUUUCUGAAAUGCUUGUCAUUAACCACAUGUUGAGCUACUCUCAUAUAGUUGCCUACCUCGUAAGUAUUGUAACAAACAUUCAGAAUUCAAAUUAAGACUUUCCUAAUGUGAAAUUCUAAACUGGCUUGUUGUGAUGUUUCACAGAAUGUUGCCCACCCUGGUUCCCUGCGCAAGGAUGAUCAGGAUAUGUCGCUGAUUGUAGAUCUAGCCCGGCAGGCAGAGGCAGUGAGUGCUGGAGCGUCUAUGCAGGAAGUGGACUUGGAUUUUGGAACAUUGAAUGAGCGCGACACAUUUAAGGCUGCUCUGCAUGCUUUGCAGUUGGUGGUUAAGAAGAAGGGCCUGAAAGAACUGAAGCUCUCCAUAGUUCCAGGGUCCAGGCUGGUGUCCAGUUUGAAGAAACCUUGCCAAAACAAUUCUUUGAAGUGUGUCGCUCAAGAAAGCAGCCCUACGUCACUAAACAUGAGGCAGAUCAACACUGAAGCCUCAUGCUCACAAACUUUCACACCCAUAACUGGUACAAAAGCUCCUGGCUUAAUAUCAGAAAACAUUGAGCCUCUGAAAACCACAUGCGGUUCAGCCUCAACAAACAUUCAGAGUGCAGAACCUUUGGUUGUGUCAACAUCCUCACAACUUCCUGUAGUGUCAUUGAACACCCAGCAGUCUGGCUUGCUGGAAAUGAACACAGAACCAGUCAGCCCAGCAAUGCCUCCUUACCACAACCCAGUAGAGGCCAAAGAGUUCUGCUCAAUGUCAAAGCCUCUUCAAACUCAAAAUGUGAGCCUUUCUCAACCGCAGAGCCCACUGGCACAAAAUUCUAGGGAACCUGAGGAAACAUUGCAAAAACAAACACAGUCUUCCACUUGCUCGAAGAACAAGGCACAAGAUGUACCUCAGAGUCCAGCUUCUAGCAAUGUUCUGUGGAACUACCUACAGACCACAGUAAGAGAACCAGUAAUAGGUUUGAGUUCUGUUGUUGAGUGUCACACUGAUGGGAAGCCACCAUAUUACCUGUGUAUUUCAUGCACAGAGAGAGUUAAAGAGGACUCCAUAAUUGAACACCUGACCAAUCGUGAACAUCAAAAAAUGUAUCUGAGUUCUAUAAAAUACACUCCUCUGCUGGCCAAAAAAAAAUUGAAGACAAAAUGGUUGAAAUUCAGUGCCGUUAUGUUGGAGAAGAGAGAUGGAUAUGGAGAAGCACAGGUGUUUUUUUUUUUUUUUACAUUGCUUCCUUUUUUUGCUGUUCUUCAGCUCCUCUGCCAGCUUAUUAACGGUCUGACAUUUCAAGCAAAAACUUGAAAGUCUGACUUAUAUGCCGUCUU